AACCACCAUCGUCCGAAGAGAAGCGUUUCACCAAAGAAGUCGUGCAAAAAUAUUUCAAAAAGGUUAAGCCUCUCUAUGUCAAAGUCUCCUGCAACUUGUACUAGUUUAUGUUUCUCCUCGCCGUCUCCGUCGUCAUUAGGAACAUCUUCUCUGCGAUCUUGACCUUCUGCUUUGCAUUAGGUUCGCUUCUUCUUUCUCUU
This 200-nucleotide long non-coding RNA is filed under the name Vigna radiata. RNAcentral describes it as "long non-coding RNA (VRAD_LNC001569)". Lineage: Eukaryota; Viridiplantae; Streptophyta; Magnoliopsida; Fabales; Fabaceae. The record is from RNAcentral.